AUUGAACGCUGGCGGCAUGCUUUACACAUGCAAGUCGGACGGCAGCACAGAGAAGCUUGCUUCUUGGGUGGCGAGUGGCGAACGGGUGAGUAACAUAUCGGAACGUACCGAGCAGUGGGGGAUAACUAAUCGAAAGAUUAGCUAAUACCGCAUAUCUUCUGAGGAAGAAAGCAGGGGACCAUUUGGCCUUGCGCUGUUUGAGCGGCCGAUAUCUGAUUAGCUAGUUGGUGGGGUAAAGGCCUACCAAGGCGACGAUCAGUAGCGGGUCUGAGAGGAUGAUCCGCCACACUGGGACUGAGACACGGCCCAGACUCCUACGGGAGGCAGCAGUGGGGAAUUUUGGACAAUGGGCGCAAGCCUGAUCCAGCCAUGCCGCGUGUCUGAAGAAGGCCUUCGGGUUGUAAAGGACUAUUGUCAGGGAAGAAAAGGGCGGGGUUAAUACCCCUGUCUGAUGACGGUACCUGAAGAAUAAGCACCGGCUAACUACGUG
Molecule: ribosomal RNA, 490 nt
Filed under: uncultured bacterium
Lineage: Bacteria
Description: partial 16S ribosomal RNA
Rfam family: Bacterial small subunit ribosomal RNA
Source: RNAcentral